Molecule: ribosomal RNA, 1426 nt
Filed under: metagenome
Description: bacterial LSU rRNA
Rfam family: Bacterial large subunit ribosomal RNA
Source: RNAcentral
CUGCUGAAAUCUUAGGUAAAUCCGGGGUUUCAAGGCCGAGAGCUGAUGACGAGUCGUCUUUUAGAUGACGAAGUGGUUGAUGCCAUGCUUCCAAGAAAAGCUUCUAAGCUUCAGGUAACCAGGAACCGUACCCCAAACCGACACAGGUGGUCGGGUAGAGAAUACCAAGGCGCUUGAGAGAACUCGGGUGAAGGAACUAGGCAAAAUGGCACCGUAACUUCGGGAGAAGGUGCGCCGGCUAGGGUGAAGGAUUUACUCCGUAAGCUCUGGCUGGUCGAAGAUACCAGGCCGCUGCGACUGUUUAUUAAAAACACAGCACUCUGCAAACACGAAAGUGGACGUAUAGGGUGUGACGCCUGCCCGGUGCCGGAAGGUUAAUUGAUGGGGUUAGCGCAAGCGAAGCUCUUGAUCGAAGCCCCGGUAAACGGCGGCCGUAACGAUAACGGUCCUAAGGUAGCGAAAUUCCUUGUCGGGUAAGUUCCGACCUGCACGAAUGGCGUAACGAUGGCGGCGCUGUCUCCACCCGAGACUCAGUGAAAUUGAAAUCGCUGUGAAGAUGCAGUGUAUCCGCGGCUAGACGGAAAGACCCCGUGAACCUUUACUGUAGCUUUGCACUGGACUUUGAGCCUGCUUGUGUAGGAUAGGUGGGAGGCUUUGAAGCGUGGACGCCAGUUCGCGUGGAGCCAUCCUUGAAAUACCACCCUGGCAUGCUUGAGGUUCUAACUCUGGUCCGUAAUCCGGAUCGAGGACAGUGUAUGGUGGGCAGUUUGACUGGGGCGGUCUCCUCCUAAAGAGUAACGGAGGAGUACGAAGGUGCGCUCAGACCGGUCGGAAAUCGGUCGCAGAGUAUAAAGGCAAAAGCGCGCUUGACUGCGAGACAGACACGUCGAGCAGGUACGAAAGUAGGUCUUAGUGAUCCGGUGGUUCUGUAUGGAAGGGCCAUCGCUCAACGGAUAAAAGGUACUCCGGGGAUAACAGGCUGAUACCGCCCAAGAGUUCAUAUCGACGGCGGUGUUUGGCACCUCGAUGUCGGCUCAUCACAUCCUGGGGCUGAAGCCGGUCCCAAGGGUAUGGCUGUUCGCCAUUUAAAGUGGUACGCGAGCUGGGUUUAGAACGUCGUGAGACAGUUCGGUCCCUAUCUGCCGUGGACGUUUGAGAUUUGAGAGGGGCUGCUCCUAGUACGAGAGGACCGGAGUGGACGAACCUCUGGUGUUCCGGUUGUCACGCCAGUGGCAUUGCCGGGUAGCUAUGUUCGGAAAAGAUAACCGCUGAAAGCAUCUAAGCGGGAAACUUGCCUCAAGAUGAGAUCUCACUGGGAACUUGAUUCCCCUGAAGGGCCGUCGAAGACUACGACGUUGAUAGGCUGGGUGUGUAAGCGUUGUGAGGCGUUGAGCUAACCAGUACUAAUUGCCCGUGAGGCUUGAUC